Molecule: long non-coding RNA, 225 nt
Organism: Erigeron canadensis
Lineage: Eukaryota; Viridiplantae; Streptophyta; Magnoliopsida; Asterales; Asteraceae
Exons: 3
Source: RefSeq, a predicted model, not a curated record
UCAUUCAUCUUCUCCUGUAACCUAAUCGCCCUCUUCCUAAAUCCUAAUUGCCCUCUUCCUCACAACAAUAACUCUCUUCUUCUCCCUCUCUGUCACACUAUUCUACUAAAUACAAAGGAGAAUAAUUCUCGAAAGGAUAGAAUUUGGGGCGGCGCCAGGAAAAACAACUUGAGCCUGAAAAAAUUGAAGAUGAGAAGCAUGUCGCACAUUUCGGAAAUGGAGAUA